GACGAACGCUGGCGGCGUGCUUAACACAUGCAAGUCGAACGAAGAGCGAUGGAAGCUUGCUUCUAUCAAUCUUAGUGGCGAACGGGUGAGUAACGCGUAAUCAACCUGCCCUUCAGAGGGGGACAACAGUUGGAAACGACUGCUAAUACCGCAUACGAUCUAAUCUCGGCAUCGGGGAUAGAUGAAAGGUGGCCUCUACAUGUAAGCUAUCACUGAAGGAGGGGAUUGCGUCUGAUUAGCUAGUUGGAGGGGUAACGGCCCACCAAGGCGAUGAUCAGUAGCCGGUCUGAGAGGAUGAACGGCCACAUUGGGACUGAGACACGGCCCAGACUCCUACGGGAGGCAGCAGUGGGGAAUCUUCCGCAAUGGACGAAAGUCUGACGGAGCAACGCCGCGUGAGUGAUGACGGCCUUCGGGUUGUAAAGCUCGGUUAAUCGGGACGAAAGGCCUUCUUGCGAAUAGUGAGAAGGAUUGACGGUACCGGAAUAGAAAGCCACGGCUAACUACGUG
This 510-nucleotide ribosomal RNA is filed under the name uncultured bacterium. RNAcentral describes it as "partial 16S ribosomal RNA". It matches the Rfam family "Bacterial small subunit ribosomal RNA", at positions 28 to 507 of the family's 1533-position model. The record is from RNAcentral.